Molecule: long non-coding RNA, 4624 nt
Filed under: Sus scrofa (pig)
Lineage: Eukaryota; Metazoa; Chordata; Mammalia; Artiodactyla; Suidae
Description: lncRNA (ENSSSCG00000060431.1)
Source: RNAcentral
AUUGCUGAGCAGCCCAGAACAAAAUGCUCCUGCUCUUUCAUGGGGGAAAGGGGGCAUGGAGAGAGAGGGAGAAAAAGUAUCUUCUCAAGGAGGCCUCCAAAUGGAGAUGACCUGGCUGGGAAUGCAGGUAUGAUUGUGAGCAUGGCUGGCCUGGGGUGGAAACUGACUCCUUCAUUGUAACCAGUUUUCACUGGGAAUUUGUAGAAUCCCACCAAUUUGAAGAGAAAUGGUGUCUUGGCAAUAUUGAGAAUAUUGAAUCUUCUGAUUCAUGAACUGGCAUAUCUCUUCAUUUGUUUAGGUUUUUAAAGAUUUCUCUUAGCAAUGUUUUAUAGUUUUUGAUGUAUAGGACUAACACACCUUUAGUCAGAAUUAUCCCUAAAUAUUUAAUUUUGGAGGAUGCUAUUUUUUUCCCCUUUUUAAUGGCUGCACCUGCAGCAUAUGGAAGUUCCAGCCUAGGGGUCAUAUCAGAGCUACAACUGACAGUCUACAUCACAGCCACAGUAAUGCCAGAUCUGAGCUGCAUCUGUGAACUACACUGCAGCUUGCAGGUAAAUCUAUUGAACCUGCAUCCUCAUGGACAGUAUGUCAGGUUCUUAACCCACCGAGCCACAAUGGGAAAUCUGGGAUGCUACUGUAAAUGGUACUUUUAGAAUUCCAAUUUCCUUUUUUCUCUAAUAUAUAGAAAUACAAUAGUUUUUUUUUUUUUUUUUGGUCUUUUUAGGGCCACACCCAUGGCAUAUCGAGGUUCCCAGGUUGGGGGUCGAAUUGGAGCCGUAACUGUCUGCCUACACCUCAGCCACAGCACCACAGGAUCCAAGCCGUGUUUAUCACCUACACCACAGCUCACAGCAACACUGGAUCUUUAACCCACUGCUGAGGCCAGGGAUCGAAGCUGCAUCCUCAUGGAUACUAGUCAGAUUGGUUCCCCCUGAGCCACGACUGAAACUCCUACAACAGAUUUUUGUAUAUAGAUCUGGUAUCCUGUAAUGUUGCUAAACCAACAUAUUCUAGCAGCUUUUCUGUAGACUUCAUAAUAUUAAACUAUGUGGCAUUGGUUUAACGGGCGGGCGGCAGACAAUAAGGACACAGAUAUUACAUACUGGAAAGCUGGCAAACAGUUUUAUGCUGCUACUAAACAUUUGAUAAAAUUGUUAACUCAGGGAUUUCCCCUGUGGCUCAGUGGGUUAAGGAUCCAGCGUUGUCAGUUCAGUGGCUUGGGUCAUUGCUGUGGCAGGGGUUCCAUCCUUGGCCUCAGAACUUUUGCAUGCUAUGGGUACAACCAAAAACAAAACAAAAAAAUCUGAAUCAUCAACUCAAUAAUUCAGAAGGCAGACCACAUGCUCUUUGAAUCUGUUGCUGUUGGGAAAAUGAUCAGAAAGAUGAUUCUCUGACCUAUGAGAGAGUAUUGUUUCCCUCCUCCUUUAGCAAAAUCUUCUAUGAAAGAUGAACUGAGGUAAAAGAUAGCCUUUUUAUUUAUUUAUUUUUUGUUAACAGAGAUGGAAGGAAUAAAGCUCUGCUGAGAUUGGAGUUCUCUGCCUGCAGUCGGCAAUGCAAAUUGACUGAGAGUGGUUAUUCAGGGCCUUCUAGUUUUGAUAAAGCCAAAACCUAUUAUACUCCCAAGAGCAGGAGAUAAAACUGUGGCCCAAGGCCCUUCUCAAGGGCCAUUAGCAAUGUGUUGUCUGCUGGACGUUGGAAGCCAGGCAGGCAGUGAGAUCAUUAAAGGGAUUGCCUUCCCAACCAAACCUGCUGUUCUGGCUGGCCGCAAGGGCAUUGCUAUUAAGUUGUUAAUUUUUUUUAAUAUUUUAUUUAUUUUUGUUAUUUGAAAUUUUUUUGGCUACGCCCAUGACAUGUGGAAGCUCCCAGGUCAGGGAUCAAACCUGUGCCACAGCACUGACGCAAGCUGCAGUGACAGCACCAGAUCCUUAAUGUGCUGCAUCACAAAGGAACUCCUACUACUAGGUCAAUAGACAAAGAAUAAAUAGGGCAAACACAGAGCUUUGUAAGUAAACAGAGUAGUUAUGCAUUAGAAAUAUGACUAGUUGAAAUCUAUAGCUGUGGGUAAUUGUACAAGGAAUUGUAAAAGGGACAGAUACACCAGAAAUCUAUUCAGUAUCUUUUAUUUUUUUAUUUUAAUGAUUUUUAUUUUUUCCAUUGUAGGUGGUUUAGAGUGUUCUGUCAAUUUUCUACUCUACAGCAAAGUGACCUAGGUGUGUGCGAGUGCUAUCUCUCUCUCUCUCUCUCUCUCACACACACACACACAUUCUUUUUCUCAUGUUAUCCUUUCAUCAUGUUCCAUCACAAGAGGAUAUAGAUAUAGUUUCCAGUGCUAUACAGUAGAAUCUCAUUGCUUAUCCACUCCAAAUGCAAUAGUUUGCAUCUAUUAACCCCAGAUUCCCAGUCCAUCCCACUUCCUCCCCGUCCCCCCUGGCAACCACAAGUCUCUUCUCCAAGUCCAUGAGUUUCUUUUCUGUGGAAAGGUUCAUUUGUGCCAUAUAUUAGAUUCCAGAUAUAAGUGACAUCAUAUGGUAUUUGUCUUUCUCUUUCUGACUAGUAUGUCUUUCUCUUUCACUUAGUAUGAGAGUCUCUAGUUCCAUCCAUGUUGCUGCAAAUGACAUUAUUUUGUUCUUUUUAAUGGCUGAGUAGUAUACCAUAUCUUAAUCGAUUCAUCUGUCGAUGGAUGUUUAGGUUGUUUCCAUGUUUUGACUAUUGUAAAUAGUGCCUCAGUGAACAUAUGGGUUCGUGUAUCUUUUUAAGGAAAAUUUUGUCCAGAUAUAUGCCCAGGAGUGGGAUUUCUGGGUCAUGUGGUAGUUCUAUAUUUAGUUUUCUGAGGUACCUCCAUAAUGUUUUCCAUAGUGUUUGUACUUCAGUAUCUUUAAAAUGGAAUUGACAGAGAGUUCUCAUUGUGGCUCAGCAGGUUAUGAACCCGACUAGUAUCCAUGAAGAUGUGGGUUUGAUCCCUAGCCUUGCUCAGUGGGUUGAGGAUCUGGCAUUGUUGUGGCUGUGGUGUAGGUUGCAGAUGCAGCUCUGGCAUAUGGAAGUUCCUAGCCUGGGAACUUCCAUAUGCUGCAGGUGUGAUUGUAUGAAGAAGAAGAAAAAAAAAAAAAAAAAAAAGAAAGAAAGAAAGAAAGAAAGAAAAGAAAGGAACUGACAGAGAAGCUACCCAUUUAGUUUGCCAAUAACUGUGUAUACUUGACCUGAAGUAACUCAUAGUCCCUCAAAAGUGCACCAGUAAGAAACUGGACAUAAAAAGAUGUGCAGCUUCCCAGGAGUUUAUACUCUUCAAUAUACCCUUCAGAUAUAAUUAUGGAGAAUCAUGGCUAAGAACCUCCGAGCGGGUAAAGCCAGUACCUGCAGGUGCAAGAAACAAGGUGUUCCUUCUAGUAAGCACAACUGAAGCCCAACCAAGAAUUUACUCCACCAUCGGGGCAAUCUUUGAAAUUUCCCUUUUGCAACAUUUGAUUAGACUGUGGACUAUUCUUCCCGCCACCUUUUUUUUUUUUUUUUCCAAAUUGAUUUUCCUAUUCCUACUUCAUCACUGUAUACUAGGUAUGUGGGGAACGAAGUGGGAGAAGAGAACAGUCAUCUCAUUUUUAAGUUUAUAGAUCACUGGAUCAUGAGGAGUUAUAGCUAGACUUGUAAAGGACCACACAUCAUCUUCAGAUUGUGGACUUUAAACUGGAUGCAGUACUGCUUGGGACUCUGGCUUCUUGCCUUUUAAAAUAGGGUGUGUUCUAUAUGUUAGAAGAAGGAAGUGUAUAGAUAGAUAGACAGAUAGAUAGAUAGACAGACAGACAGGCAAAUUUGGGUAGCCAGACUAGUGGACUAUAAUAGAAUUGUCCACCAAAGUACAUCCUUAUCUUCUUCCUUUAUUAUUUGAACUGUCAAGUGUUAGCUGGAUCCACAGUUGCCUAGUUAGAGAACAUCUCCCACCUUCCUGACAGUCGGAUGUGGCCGUGUCUCUAUCAGGUCAAUGGAAUGAAUAGAAAUGACGUAUGCUACCUCUGGGACCCACUCCUAGGAGUACUGACAUGUGCACCCCUUUCCUUUCUGCUAGGCUAAGAUACAGAUGUGAUGGCAGGUUCUGGGAUAGCAGUUAUGUAUGAGGACAGUGCUGCCCUCUGGGUCCUAGACCACCUACCUCUUAGCAUAUGAGAGGAAAAAACCCCCCAAACUAUCUCGUUUCACAUGCAGUAUCUUUGGGAUACAGCAACCUAAUCUGUAUUCCAACAAAAGCUACUUUUGGAAUAGAGCAUUAAGUAUUCUUUCCUCCAAGGGGCAAGGUAGAGCCAUUCUUCCCCGCACCCCUAACCUGGGGCAUGUGGAAGUUCCCAGGCCAGGGACUGAACCUGCACCACAGCAAUGACGGUGACCACAGCAGUGACAAUGCCAGGUCCUUAACCUGCUGAGCCAUAAGGAAACUCUGGCAAAGCCAUUCUUGAACACAUGGAAAAGAAACUUUUGCUAUUCUAAGUCAAGGUUUUGACCCAAUUAAACCAAAUACAUAAUCACUGAACACUUAAUUUGAGCCAAUUCAGUGUGAGCUGUUACAGAAGAAAGGUCCUACUCUGAGCUGAACUACCUAUUUCUAGAUUGUUACAUAAGAAGAAAUAAACUUCUAUUUUGU